GACGAACGCUGGCGGCGUGCUUAACACAUGCAAGUCGAACGGAAAGGCCCUGCUUUUGUGGGGUGCUCGAGUGGCGAACGGGUGAGUAACACGUGAGUAACCUGCCCUUGACUUUGGGAUAACUUCAGGAAACUGGGGCUAAUACCGGAUAGGAGCUCCUGCUGCAUGGUGGGGGUUGGAAAGUUUCGGCGGUUGGGGAUGGACUCGCGGCUUAUCAGCUUGUUGGUGGGGUAGUGGCUUACCAAGGCUUUGACGGGUAGCCGGCCUGGGAGGGUGACCGGCCACAUUGGGACUGAGAUACGGCCCAGACUCCUACGGUAGGCAGCAGUGGGGAAUAUUGCACAAUGGGCGGAAGCCUGAUGCAGCAACGCCGCGUGCGGGAUGACGGCCUUCUGGUUGUAAACCGCUUUCGCCUGUGACGAAGCGUGAGUGACGGUAAUGGGUAAAGAAGCACCGGCUAACUACGUG
RNAcentral lists this ribosomal RNA (468 nucleotides) under uncultured bacterium. RNAcentral's name for it is "partial 16S ribosomal RNA". It matches the Rfam family "Bacterial small subunit ribosomal RNA", at positions 28 to 507 of the family's 1533-position model. The record is from RNAcentral.